This 68-nucleotide transfer RNA is filed under the name Glandirana rugosa (Japanese wrinkled frog). RNAcentral's name for it is "tRNA-Gly". It matches the Rfam family "tRNA". From Rfam's summary of the family: Transfer RNA (tRNA) molecules are approximately 80 nucleotides in length. Their secondary structure includes four short double-helical elements and three loops (D, anti-codon, and T loops). Lineage: Eukaryota; Metazoa; Chordata; Amphibia; Anura; Ranidae. The record is from RNAcentral.
UUUUCUUAGUAUAACUAGUAUGAAUGACUUCCAAUCAUUUAGUCUUGGUGAAACUCCUAGAGAAAAUG